UGAAAGCAAAGUUUCAUUGUACUUUUGCAAUGACAACAAAGACCUAUCCUAUCCUAUCCUAUCCUCCUACAGAACACUCCAGACUGUGCUGUAAACAUUUGAUUUCUGACAUGGCAGGCAAAAUCAGACACUAAUUUAAAAAGCAAUCUCGCAAGGAGGAAAGUCAAGAGUCCAGAGCGCUUAAAGGCAGGCUACUUCGAAAUCCUCUGAGUGCCUCAAGUAAAAAUGGCCCCACCACACAAGCUAUCUAUUCUCUUAUGCAAGCACUUAUGCUGCUGGUGUCAAACUCAAGGCCCGGGGCCCGAUCUGGCCUGCAACAUCAUUUUAUCUGGCCCGCAUACACC
Molecule: long non-coding RNA, 344 nt
Organism: Nerophis ophidion (straightnose pipefish)
Lineage: Eukaryota; Metazoa; Chordata; Actinopteri; Syngnathiformes; Syngnathidae
Exons: 3
Source: RefSeq, a predicted model, not a curated record